UCUUCAUUUUCUUCAUGUUUGUUAUAAAUUUGUAUCUUAACAGUAGUCAUCUUAUUAUUAAUUUCCUGAUAUAUCUUUCGAGUUUUUCUUUAUUUUUCUCAAUUUAUAAAAAUCGUUUUAAAAUUGUCGAUAAUGGGUGAAAAUUUAAGAGAAAAUCUCAUUUUGGGAAUAGGAAAUCCACUACUCGAUAUAUCAGCAACAGUUGAUGAGGAUUUUUUAAAAAAAUACAAAUUAAAAGCAAACGAUGCAAUAUUGGCUGAUGAUUUUCAUAAGCCACUUUACGAUGAAUUGGUUGAACAAUAUAAAGCAGAUUUUAUAGCCGGUGGUGCCGUACAAAAUACAAUGCGAGUUGCGCAGUGGUUUUUAGAAAAACCGCGCGUUUGCAUUUACAUGGGCUGUGUUGGUAAGGAUAAAUAUUCAAAAAUUUUACAAGAACGCGCACAAGAAGAUGGCUUAAAUGUUCGCUAUCAAUAUACGGAUAAGGAACAAACAGGAACAUGUGCCGUUUUAAUAACAGGCAAAGAGCGUUCAUUGUGCGCUAAUUUAGCGGCAGCAAAUUUAUUUUCACCAACUCAUAUUGCCGAGCCGGAAAAUAAAAUACUCAUUGAGAAAGCACAAUUUUACUAUGUUUCUGGAUUUUUCUUGACAGUAAGUCCCGAAUCAAUUCAAUCAGUUGCAAAACAUGCGUGCGAUGAAAAUAAAAUAUUUACAAUGAAUUUAAGUGCACCAUUUUUGUGUAAACUUUUUAAAAAACCAAUGCGCGAUGCAUUGCCAUAUGUUGAUAUUUUAUUUGGCAAUGAAUCAGAAUGUGAGGCAUUUUCAGAGGCAAAUAAUUUAAAUACAAGUGAUUUAAUUGAAAUUGGAUUGAAAAUAUCACAAAUGGAGAAAAAAAAUACAAAAAGAAAACGUAUUGUUAUUAUAACACAGGGAGCGGGUGCUGUUAUUUUAAUAAAAGACAAUAAAAUUACUGAAUUUAAUGUGCCAAAAAUAUCUGAAGAAAAAGUUGUCGAUACAAAUGGCGCUGGCGAUGCAUUCGUUGGUGGUUUCUUGGCGCAAUACGUUCAGAAUGAAAAUUUGGAAACAUGUAUAAAAUGUGGCAUAUGGGCAGCUUCGGAAAUUAUACAACGUUCCGGUUGUACUUAUGAGGGGAGACCAAAUUUUUCCGUUAAUACAAAAUAAUUGCAAAAUAAUUAUAUGGAGCGGCGCAAAAUUUAGAAGAGAGAAAUAAUAAUUGAUCCAGUGACACGGCAGUUGCAUUCUGACUUGAGUUCUUUGCUUCGAGGUGUUCUGAACAAUUUCACGAGCGAAAAAAGGACAAGUAAAAGAUAUUAAGAAACAUCUUUAACGUUUCGGAAUCGGUACCGAUUCCCUCAGCAGAAUUUAUUUCAUCUAAAAGAGUAAUGUUACAAUUAGAACUAAUAAUAAUAAUAGUAAAGCAAAAAUCAUAAAUUUAUAUUAAUAUUAUAAAAUAUAGAUAUUGGACUUAA
Molecule: RNA transcript, 1487 nt
Organism: Leptopilina boulardi
Lineage: Eukaryota; Metazoa; Arthropoda; Insecta; Hymenoptera; Figitidae
Gene: Adk2
Exons: 8
Source: RefSeq, a predicted model, not a curated record